GUAAAGUUAAAUCAUAUACUCAUUUCUACUUCUUUUUUCCCCAUCCCCUUAUAUUAUUUCAUGUUUCCCUUUUUGAAAAUCAUGUUUGUGUUGAGAUUUUUUUUUAUAGUGGACUACGUUACGUACCCUUUUUAUUUUCAUUUGUGAUAAAAUUGUUUGAGAACUAUAUAGGGAGUGAUCUUUAUAUAUUGAUGAGAACUGUAGCCGUUCAAACUCUCUAUAUUAACUUUAUUUUCCCUUUUGCAAAUUUGCUAUGUUUUAAUAUUUGCACCCCCCAAAAAAAAAAAAUCUCAAUUCAAUAAAAACUACAAUUUCCAUAGAAGAAAGUAACUAAAUUAUAUCUUAAGACAAAUUGGUACAAUAUUUGAUUUUC
This 373-nucleotide long non-coding RNA is filed under the name Capsella rubella. Its description in RNAcentral is "long non-coding RNA (CRUB_LNC003725)". Lineage: Eukaryota; Viridiplantae; Streptophyta; Magnoliopsida; Brassicales; Brassicaceae. The record is from RNAcentral.